This 434-nucleotide ribosomal RNA is filed under the name uncultured bacterium. Its description in RNAcentral is "bacterial SSU rRNA". It matches the Rfam family "Bacterial small subunit ribosomal RNA", at positions 355 to 786 of the family's 1533-position model. The record is from RNAcentral.
UGAGGAAUAUUGGUCAAUGGCCGAGAGGCUGAACCAGCCAAGUCGCGUGAGGGAUGACGGCCCUACGGGUUGUAAACCUCUUUUGUCGGGGAGCAAAGGACUUCACGAGUGGAGUUUCGAGAGUACCCGAAGAAAAAGCAUCGGCUAAUUCCGUGCCAGCAGCCGCGGUAAUACGGAAGGUCCUGGCGUUAUCCGGAUUUAUUGGGUUUAAAGGGAGCGUAGGCCGGAGAUUAAGCGUGUUGUGAAAUGUAGGAGCUCAACUUCUGCACUGCAGCGCGAACUGGUUUCCUUGAGUACGUAGGAAGUUGGCGGAAUUCGUGGUGUAGCGGUGAAAUGCUUAGAUAUCACGAAGAACUCCGAUUGCGAAGGCAGCUGACUGUAUCGUAACUGACGCUGAAGCUCGAAAGUGUGGGUAUCGAACAGGAUUAGAUACC